GGAGGUCUACCGGGUCGGGUUCCGAUUCAGAUUCGAAGAUCCAGUUCACACUAGAACAUGCCUUCGGUGACUCAGAUUUCUCCCCCGCCGGCACCUUCACUGCUCGCAUCAAAUCUCCUUCUCAUGGUUCCCAGGUUUUCCCUUAAUUAUUCUUUAUUUUGACGUUUGAAACUUUUUAAAAAAAUUUAUAUAGUUAUCAACGUAAUUAAAUUAUUAUUUGUUGAAAACUAUCUCCUUAAUCGUAAUUAUAGACAUUGUUGCUCGAAGGUGGAAUCCGAUCCCGUGCAGCUGAUCCCAAUGACGUCAAAGUAGGUGCAGCACCUUCUUCUCCUGUUCAGUCGACCCGGAGGAGGUCUACCGGGUCGGGUUCCGAUUCAGAUUCGAAGAUCCAGUUCACACUAGAACAUGCCUUCGGUGACUCAGAUUUCUCCCCCGCCGGCACCUUCACUGCUCGCAUCAAAUCUCCUUCUCAUGGUUCCCAGGUUUUCCCUUAAUUAUUCUUUAUUUUGACGUUUGAAACUUUUUAAAAAAAUUUAUAUAGUUAUCAACGUAAUUAAAUUAUUAUUUGUUGAAAACUAUCUCCUUAAUCGUAAUUAUAGACAUUGUUGGGUAAUAUUAAGAUCGCAGAACACAGGUUGUUAUCAGUUUACUUAAUAAUAACGAAUAGUUUGUUAAUUUCAUGGACUUGCGAUCUGAUUUUAAAAAAAGUAAUGCGACCAAACAACUUUAAAAGACAAUGUACAAACUAAUGAC
RNAcentral lists this long non-coding RNA (753 nucleotides) under Nicotiana benthamiana. Its description in RNAcentral is "long non-coding RNA (NBEN_LNC015913)". The record is from RNAcentral. Lineage: Eukaryota; Viridiplantae; Streptophyta; Magnoliopsida; Solanales; Solanaceae.